Molecule: long non-coding RNA, 1244 nt
Organism: Lutra lutra (Eurasian river otter)
Lineage: Eukaryota; Metazoa; Chordata; Mammalia; Carnivora; Mustelidae
Exons: 4
Source: RefSeq, a predicted model, not a curated record
GCGGGCCUCGAUCCCAGAACCCUGAGAUCAUGACCUGAGCCAAAGGCAGAGGCUUAACCCACUGAGCCACCCAGGUGCCCAGGAAUUUAUUUUUUAAACUGACAUGAAUUCCUAGGUCUGUCAAACAUGAAUGUUCUUCAAUUUGUUCUUUUUCUUAACACAUGGUUAAUUGGCUUAAAUCCAAUGACUGAGAGGUCAAAGAGUCACCACUUAAAGCAUACCUGGUAUUUUUUAUUUUUGACUUUAUAUUAAUGUCUUGAGAAUUUCUUUGAUAAUUUAUUCAACAUAUAUCUGAGUUGUUCUAGGUGCUGGAGAUGCAGUGGUGAAAAAGAUCAAGCCCCUGACAUCAUGACUGGUGAAAAUUUAUUACUGGCUGACCCCAACCUGGGAACCCACUUCGGGUCACUCUAGUCUGAAAGAAUUAGUCCCGAGGAUCUAAAACUUCAAGCUAUGAAAAAGGCUCCAAUGGGAAAACAGGAAGGAAAAUGAAAGGGAAGUGGUGGCGAAGGGGAGAUUCCAUGUUGGUGAACACAUUGAUGUGCCGGACGGUGAUGUGCCCUGAUUCAAUGAGGAGAAGGCACAGAAGCUUUUCAUUUGGGACCCUUCCACAACUCACCCUCUGGUCUCUUCAUUUAGUUGGUCCUCCAUAGCCUUCAUAAUGAAACUGUGAUAGUAAAUACUGCACUUUCCUGAGUUCUGUCAUUCCUUCUAGUGAAUUAUCAAACCUGAGGGGGUCAUGAGUCCCCAGAUUUGUAACAAAAUAAUCAGAAAUUCCAGUAGCCGGAGGACCCUGAAACUAUGACUGCCAUCUGAAGUGGGAGCCAUCUUGUAAAGGACUGCGCAGUUAACGUGAGGGGUGGUUAGUACCAGAAAUGAAUUGCAGUACGCUGUUUGAGGUGGAAAUGAAAUAAUGUCACAGAAUGAAAGCCAUUUUGCUGAUAGCAACAUUUUCAGUGGGAACUUUUUGGGAUGACCUAAAACAAAAGGAGAUUAGCAUUGCUUUAAAAAAUAUUCUUACCAAAGAGGAGAAUUGGCUACAAUCUCAAGGUUUAAAGCAUCACUCUCUCUACAUCUCAUUUUUCAUCAUAGUGUUCAGGAAAAGUAUUCUGUUAGCAGUCAAAAUGGCUUAAUCCCUAGAAUUACAUUUCUGCUUUUCAAAUAAAUAGGCUGUUUGUUUUUACUCUUAGGGUUUUUCCCCUGCCCUCCUGGAUAUAAACACCUUGCUAUCUUGUUGCAGAAAGGGA